GAAACUAACAAGGAUUCCCCNNNGUAACGGCGAGUGAAGUGGGAAAAGCUCAACUUUGUAAUCUGGCAGCUUCGCUGUCCGAGUUGUAGUCUCGAGAAGUGUUUUCCGCGCUGGACCAUGUAUGAGUCUGUUGGAAUACAGCGUCAUAGAGGGUGAGAACCCCGUUCAUGACAUGACUUCCAGUGCUUUGUGAUACACUUUCGAUGAGUCGAGUUGUUUGGGAAUGCAGCUCAAAAUGGGUGGUAAAUUCCAUCUAAAGCUAAAUAUUGGGGAGAGACCGAUAGCAAACAAGUACCGUGAGGGAAAGAUGAAAAGCACUUUGGAAAGAGAGUUAACAGUACGUGAAAUUGUUGAAAGGGAAACGCUUGAAGUCAGACGUGCGUAGUGCCUUCGGGUGCUGUUGCAGGCCAGCAUCAGUUUCUCGAGCCGGAUAAAGGUAGGAGGAAGGUGGCAGCUCCGGCUGUGUUAUAGCCUCCUACUGAAUACGGAUCU
This 492-nucleotide ribosomal RNA is filed under the name Sakaguchia dacryoidea. RNAcentral describes it as "eukaryotic LSU rRNA". It matches the Rfam family "Eukaryotic large subunit ribosomal RNA", at positions 61 to 580 of the family's 3401-position model. Lineage: Eukaryota; Fungi; Basidiomycota; Cystobasidiomycetes; Sakaguchiales; Sakaguchiaceae. The record is from RNAcentral.